CCUACGGGAUACAGCAGUGGGGAAUAUUGCACAAUGGGGGAAACCCUGAUGCAGCGACGCCGCGUGGGUGACGAAGUAUUUCGGUAUGUAAAGCCCUAUCAGCAGGGAAGAAGAUGACAGUACCUGACUAAGAAGCCCCGGCUAACUACGUGCCAGCAGCCGCGGUAAUACGUAGGGGGCAAGCGUUAUCCGGAUUUACUGGGUGUAAAGGGAGCGUAGGUGGCAUGGCAAGCCAGAAGUGAAAACCCGGGGCUUAACCCCGCGGAUUGCUUUUGGAACUGUCAGGCUGGAGUGCAGGAGGGGCAGGCGGAAUUCCUGGUGUAGCGGUGAAAUGCGUAGAUAUCAGGAGGAACACCGGUGGCGAAGGCAGCUUACUAAACUGCCACUGACAUUGAUGCUCGAAAGUGUGGGUAUCAAACAGGAUUAGAUACCCGUGUAGUC
RNAcentral lists this ribosomal RNA (441 nucleotides) under uncultured bacterium. Its description in RNAcentral is "partial 16S ribosomal RNA". It matches the Rfam family "Bacterial small subunit ribosomal RNA", at positions 338 to 795 of the family's 1533-position model. The record is from RNAcentral.